RNAcentral lists this transfer RNA (72 nucleotides) under Bythopirellula polymerisocia. RNAcentral describes it as "Planctomycetes bacterium Pla144 tRNA-Ala". It matches the Rfam family "tRNA". Rfam says of the family: Transfer RNA (tRNA) molecules are approximately 80 nucleotides in length. Their secondary structure includes four short double-helical elements and three loops (D, anti-codon, and T loops). The record is from RNAcentral. Lineage: Bacteria; Pseudomonadati; Planctomycetota; Planctomycetia; Pirellulales; Lacipirellulaceae.
GGGGCGUUGGUCCAACGGGAAGACGCUUGGCUUGCACCCAGGUAAUCGGGGUUCGAUUCCCCGACGCUCCAC